Non-coding RNA from Phalacrocorax carbo (great cormorant), 5813 nucleotides. The record is from RefSeq and is a predicted model, not a curated record. Lineage: Eukaryota; Metazoa; Chordata; Aves; Suliformes; Phalacrocoracidae.
AAAUCUGAAAGGAUUGGAAAAGUUCACUGAAUAAAGCGUACCCAGCAGAUAUCGCCCACCAAAGUUUACUAAGCAAACAUAGCUCGGUCUCUGAUUCCCUCCCUGGACUGCUGCUACUACCAUAGUGCAGGGAAACAGAGAUGUUGCCGAUAUCCCAGCUGAACCACUGUACUGCUCUGCAGGACUGUCACAGACCUUGUCCACCACAGAGGUGACAAUAUUGUUGGCCUGAAGCUACAGGCACACCCGUAGUGCCUGGGGAAAGAGGGGUGUCCAUAAAUCAGGCCUGAUACAAGCUUUCCCUUUGCUGCCUCUAAGAUUUCAAAGAGCCUUGCCUGUCCUCCACCAUCCCAAAGCCCAGGUCCCAGGGGAAGAACACCCAGCAGAUCCUGAGGCCAUGAGCAGGCUUAGUAUUAAACUCCUUUACUCUCUAGCCAGGACGUUCGGCAGUCUCCACAAAUGUAAGUAAGUGCUGAUUCAGUAACCACUGUUUGGAUUAAAGUUUAAUCUCUUUAACCCUGACCUCAAUAUAUAGCUUUAUGCUGAUAAGGUGUGCAAUGCCAGGAUGUCAUAUGUAACGUGAAGUAAGGAACGAUGGUUUCAGAGCGCGCAGAAGGGGCUUACGGACAGACUGGUCUAACACAAACAGGAAACCAAGUUCCCAGGUUCUGACCUGCCUAGCAAUCUACUUGCAGUGCAGCCCAGCUAAAACCAAUUCAGUCUGCUCUUAUUACCCAAGAUCACAACUCGCUCGUCAGCAAACAAUGUGCUCGUUCAUUACCUACAGAGCUGACUUUGGACACCCCACAUACAGAGUAAGCGGUACAACCGCUGAGCUCUACAGCCUGUCUAUUCUUUCUCUCCCCUGCAGUGCAUUAGGAAAGCCUGUUGCCCCACUCUGUGCCUGAGCAGCACUUUUAUUUCUACAACAACAGCUGAGUGCUGUGCUAGGGACAAACGCUGGGACAGAGCCUUGAGCACAGAAGGCCCAAAGCCCAGUGAAGAGGCUGACUUGCAAAGGUAGGAGAAAGGCACCAGCAGAAUGGCAGCUAGCACCCGUCUUACACACAGCCCACGUUCUCCUACCUGACUGCUGUGCACAGCUCUUCAAUUGCAAGGGAGCCAUGCCACAGGAUGGGCUGGGUGUAGCGCAGGUAUCUAAUGAAACACCCCCGAGCAGCAGAGAUCACAGUACAGCCCUUCCUGACCACUUACCACUGAGUGAUCAAUGCCAGGCUGUCUCAGGGUACAGAGCAGUAGGUACAAAACAGCACAAACCCCAUUAGCCUGCCCACUGGCACUUCAACACUGAGUUGCUCCUCAGCUCCACUAUACAAAGCAGCAAGAAUCUCACUGCAGAGAUGCCUGUGCACUGACCCACAUGUUUUGUACUGAGACUCCUCAUAACAGAGGGCAAAACUGUAGGAGGCGCCCAAGCCCACCGAGCUCCGGGCCCCACUUAGACUACUCACCUGCUUCCACUCCUCCUGGCGUGUCCAGCACGGCCCAUCCAGAUCUGUCAUGGAGACAACGCUGGAAUAGGUGAGCUCCUCCUCCUCUGACUCGCUGAUGUCCACCAGCCGGCGGCACCACUCAAUUUGCUCCUGCACCGUCUGCCGGACCCACCUGGAGAACUCCAGCCUGUUGGCCAUGCUGGGAGCCUGGGCUGGCUGGGGCUGCGGAGAUAUAAACUGAAAGAGGCAAGAGAGAAAAGAGAGAAGGUCACACCACAUGGAAACCUACAUCUCCAGCUCUAACAUCUUCCAUUGGCAGACUGUCAAGUGACCCAAACCUCCGAGCCUCAAUUCCCUUUGCUGCCAUCAAAUGCUGAUCAACUGUGGGAGAUUGCUAGUGCUGUCCUCUUCGAUCUGACAUUCCUGGUUUACAGCUGGGGCCCCACAGCUCUCCUGCUUACACAUCUAGCUCCUCUUCACUGACUUUAUGCUACUGAGACAUUUCACAAAAGGCAGAGUACGUGGAUUUAAUCUGCAAUGGGAACUAGAGAGCAGAAUGAGGGAAGGACUAAUGACAUGCAACUGCUUGCCAUUAGAUUUGGAGAAAGGAAGUAGCUUUCUCAACUAGCAAGUGAGGCAGAGACAAGGUAAACAAGUUUCAAAAUCCUUGUGGAAAUCUAUGGGGGGACACAGGCUAAGGAACUGUGGGACAAAGUCUCGUCAUUACUGUGUUUUUACAGUCAGCACCAGCACAGCUAUUUACACGUGCCAUUACCUAGCACCUCCCUGGCUACGAUCCUUACACCUUCCAGAAGCCAAGAAUGCUUCUUCCCUUGACACCUCCUGCACACACACUAUUAAACCAAAGCAAUCCACUCCAAGCCUGUACCUAAACACAGUUUGUCUGUGAAGACCAUCGUUUAGGUUUGUCUCAUCAACAGCCAAGCUGACAUGUAGAAAUAAGCUCCCCACCACAAAUCAGCAACAUUGUUGUCUCUUGCGGUAUCUAGGAAAUAAUACCUACUUUGUUCCUUUGAAUUUUCUCGAGCAUGUCCAGGUCAGUGGUGUCAGAGAUGCCCCCGUGUAUAAUGAGGACCUUCUGAUCUAUCAGGGUGGCAAGGGGCAGCCAGCAGAAGACAUUCUGGAUCAUCUUUAAGAUUUUCUUCCCGUGCACCUGUCCAGGUCAGAAAGGAAAAGACGAAGCAUCAAGCUUUCGAAGUCCACAUCUCACGUGGUAAAGACGACACAAACAUAUGCCUACCUUGUAUUUCUGCAUUACUUCCUUGGUGAAACCGUAGCUAAAGGAACAGGAGAAAGCAAGUUCAGUGGGAUUUGGCAGCGACACCCUUGGCAUCGCGAUCAGCCCUGCACAGGACCCAUACCGUAAGUUGACCAUGUGGUCCUCAUGGUUCCCGCGGUUGAGAUGAACCUCCUUUGGAUAGAUCAAGAGGAAGGUAAAGAGGACGAUGAGGAUCUCGAGGGACUGUUUGCCUCUGUCUACGAAGUCCCCGUUGAACACGUAGGACUUGGAAGGGGAAGGAAGGCCAUUCUGGAAAAGCAAGGAACAGGCAGAUGUUACAAGAGAGACCUCCCCAUGAUCUCCAUAUACCUCCCCGCCCCAGCUGCACAUUCUCUCACUCCUGCCCCAGGCUACCUUAUACAAGAGAUCCUGACUUAUUUUUAUCCUGUAGGCUCCCAGUGGCAAAUGCACUGAAAAGUGAAAGCUGGCAGUCAGGAAGGGCUGCCGCUGGUAUCAGCACUUCCGAAAACGUCCACUGGCGCUCCCCAAAUGUUCAUGUACAUCAGAUUUCAAAGCCAGCAAGGGAAUAAGCUGCUGCUUUGUGAAGCCAUUUAAACCGAUCUAAUUGACCUGGAGAAUUGCAGGUGAGGGGCCCAGUUUUGCGAACACUUCCCAGCAUGACCCAUGCGAUACCUCUCACAAUGCCUGGCCAGCCUCCCUCUCCAAAUACAGUGCCUACCUUAUAAAAUAUGAAGAACAAGUCAUCCAGCUGGCCGUGCAAGUCUCCUAACAGGCACAAACAGACAAGGCGCAAUAUAUUUACCUUUACCUUAAAAAGACAUCUAUAAAUAACUGCCUAUGAAGUAUCAUCUCUAUAAAUUAAUGACCACUGAAAUAUUUUGGGAAGUUCGAGGUAGGAGUUUCCUUAUGCUGAGGCAAUGUGCCUGAAGGAAAGGACAUGAUGUAAAGGCUUGAGCUGAUGCCUGAGGACAGCAAAAAACCCACACCAGCUUCUGAAGACUCUGUUUCGGAAGCUUUGUUCAUUUCUCUCUUAUGAUGACAUAACACGGCACAAGAAACUGACUUCGAUCAUUACAUGAAAGAAAGCUUUGCGUACAAAAUAAUAAUCAAACUAAAUUCUCAUUUCACAUCAUAUUGGAGGGAGGGGUUUGUUUUCCAGAGACUGACUGCACGCAGAAGUCUGCACUAAGUGCCUAUUUUUCAGAAAUAUUUCAAAGUUUAAACAUUUGUCCUAGAAUAGGAAAAUAAUGGUGAAAAGCUUUGUCUCUUUCAAAUUUACUGGAUAGGACUCAAAGACAUGUUAGUAUUCUGGAUCUGGGUGAAUACGCCGCUGCUAACGAAGACUCGGCCGAAACAGCCCCAGGACUUGAUUGUUUUAAGUAAUACGAGGCCACAGAACAGGACAGAAAACUACUGAGUUUUGAGGCCAGUCCUCGAGUGGGUGCAGUUUCUGUGGUUUAGUAAAAUGACACCAAGUUUGGGGUGACAGAACAAACACAAAUUUGAAGCCAGUUGAAAAAUUCUUUAAAUCUUUGCUGUAACAUGUAACAAUUUUAAGAGCCACAGGCUAGCGUUAGGAUCCUUCACCUUCCCUUAGACAAAUGUAAAUCCUUAUAUUUUCUGUACAUACCUCCUCCGCAACUUGCAUUUUUAUAAUCACUGUGACAGCACCGCUAUGCAAGCUGAAUGCCACCAUCUAGGGGCAGGGUCUGUUAAUGACGUAUCCCAAAAUCUCCCAUGGAAGCCAAAUGCAGACUACAGAUAGACAAACCGCCUUCCCUCAACACCCCCACCGCAUUCCAGACCAAGUAGAAAUAGGGCCAUGAUGCAAAAUGCUCCCUCCAGCCUUCAGGCUAGCCUGUGCAGCAGCUCAAAUACAGCAUCGUAGGGUAAACCUGGCUAUUUUAGACCGCCAGUUGCCUGUCAUUGCUGGCAAUUUGCCAUUUUAUGUCUUUCCCACCCCUUCCACCUGAGCGUUCCGCCCCAGACGCUGUGCAGUGCCCUCCCACCCAGACAUACCACAUACGGUGACCUCCUCGCUGUAGCAGGUGGAGACGUGACUGAUGUUUGGCAGCUGCUUGAGGUGUUUCCUGGUCUCAUGCAGAAGGUUUAAGACAUAGCGAGCGUGGAGCUGCUACUAGGAGAAAGUGAAGGGAUUAAAGCAGGAAAUCAGUGACCUCUGAGCAGCAAUGCAGUUCUGUCUCCAAAGGACCCAAGGGCCCACCACGAUAGCCUGGAUGGCAGAAACUGUCACCGGGAUAACGCUCAGUGCUGACCUACGGGCUUACAGACAAGAUGCGGCAAAUGCUAGACAACAGCAGGAUGGAAGAGACUCACCCAAAGCCGCCCAGCCUCAGCACGGGCAGGGCUGGCAAGAGAGCCCUAGCACCCUGUGGUCAAGCAACAGAACCUCCUAGGGCAGCCAAAACGCCAGCCCAGUACCACAGCACUAGGAGCUGCGUAGCACAAAGAGGGAAGAGGUGUUGCUGUUGUGCAGCUGGGGAACUGAGUCACAGUGACGUCAUGGGCAAGAAGGUGGAUGUUACAUAAAGAAAACUUGCUGGGAUCAAGAGUCAAUUAAAGCAACGUCAUUCUGAAAUCUCAAAGGUAUCGCAACCGCUGUCAUUUACAUCUUCCUCCAGGGACUCUUUGUCACAUGUAUCAUUCUGGCAUAUGACUGCUAAUAUCCUUGUACAAACUAACUGGGUCAAGGCAAAGCUUGCAAUGCACUGAUCCAGGCAGAAGCAGAGGAUGCAGGUAAGUAGGUUAUGACCCUUAGCCUGACUCAGCACAAGGAGAUAAAGGGCCCACACCUCCAGAAAGCUCUCUCAGGAGCUGUUUGCAUAACCAGUACAUGAACACCUCAGGUAACAUUGCACAUCACUGGCAAUGGGGCGCUAACACUCUGAUCAUACUACUUCUCCCACAUAAAACUCAUGCUGGCAUGAGCAGUUCUUUUGUCCACUGGGGAAUGGGACCUCUAAACUUUAUGUGAGUCUCCACUGGUCUUGACUCUCUAAAUCCUUCUGUAUUUCUGGGAUGCUCCCAAGAAGUACCUGAAUUCAAUAUGCUGUCAUAGCACAACUGACAAACAAAAC